GGUCAAGAGCAAUACUUUCUUGUUAAGAAUUUUAAACAAACAUCCCCGGAUUCCUCAGAAAAACAUACCUACCUACCUACCUACCUACCAUUCUAGGUACAUGCAUCUUUCAAAUGUCUGCCUUAUCAACUGUCGAUGCGUGGUAACUACCAUGGUGGUAACGGGUGACGGGGGAUUAGGGUUCGAUCCCGGAGAGGGAGCCUGAGAAACAGCAUAUCUACCUAGAUAG
This 229-nucleotide non-coding RNA is filed under the name Diaphorina citri (Asian citrus psyllid). RNAcentral describes it as "Eukaryotic small subunit ribosomal RNA". It matches the Rfam family "Eukaryotic small subunit ribosomal RNA", at positions 186 to 425 of the family's 1831-position model. The record is from Rfam by way of RNAcentral. Lineage: Eukaryota; Metazoa; Arthropoda; Insecta; Hemiptera; Psyllidae.